AGCGAACGUUUGCGGCGGGCCUAACACAUGCAAGUCGAACGCACUAGCAAUAGUGAGUGGCGCACGGGUGCGUAACACGUGGGUAAUCAACCCUUCAGCUUGGGAUAACGACUUGAAAGGGUCGCUAAUACCGGAUACGGCGCGGGAGGCUUCGGCUUCUCACGAGAAAGCCUCGCAAGGGGCACUGAAGGACGAGCCUGCGGCCCAUCAGCUAGUUGGUGAGGUAAGAGCUCACCAAGGCGAAGACGGGUAGCUGGUCUGAGAGGAUGAUCAGCCACACUGGAACUGAGACACGGUCCAGACUCCUACGGGAGGCAGCAGUGGGGAAUAUUGCGCAAUGGGCGAAAGCCUGACGCAGCCACGCCGCGUGAGCGAUGAAGGCCUCGGGUCGUAAAGACUCUGUGGGGAGGAGACGAAGAAAGACCCGUGAAGAGCGGGCCGUUGACGGUAUCUCCUUAGCAAGCACCGGCUAACUCCGUGCCAGCAGCCG
Molecule: ribosomal RNA, 490 nt
Filed under: uncultured bacterium
Lineage: Bacteria
Description: bacterial SSU rRNA
Rfam family: Bacterial small subunit ribosomal RNA
Source: RNAcentral